AACGUUGUUGCAGUUAAAAAGCUCGUAGUUGAAGUGAAGUGUGAACCUUCUGGAUUUUCGUUCGAAUUUCUUGCUGGUUCGCACUCUUUCCAAAUAGUUUGCAUGGGUAUUCACUUAUCUGUGUAUUGCAUUUGGUCAUUUACUGUGAGAAAAUUAGAGUGUUCAAAGCAUACGUUUGUUUGAAUACAUUAGCAUGGAAUAAUUCGAAAAGGCUUUCAUGUUCGAUUUGAUUGGUUUGUUCGUGAAGGCAAGAUUAAAAGGGACAGUUGGGGGUAUUCAUAUUCAAUAGUCAGAGGUGAAAUUCUCGGAUUUAUGGAAGAUGAACUAGUGCGAAAGCAUUUACCAAGGAUGUUUUCAUUAAUCAAGAACGAAAGUUAGGGGAUCGAAGAGGCUUAGAUACCCUCGUAGUCUUAACUAUAAACGAUACCGACUAGGGGUUAGUGGAGGUCAUUUGUCUCUACUAGUACCUUAUGAGAAAUCAAAGUCUUUGGGUUCCGGGGGGAGUAUGGUCGCAAGGCUGAAACUUAAAGGAAUUGACGGAAGGGCACCACCAGGAGUGGAGCCUGCGGCUUAAUUUGACUCAACACGGGGAAACUUACCAGGUCCAGACAUAGGAAGGAUAGACAGAACAAAGCUCUUUCUUGAUUCUAUGGGUGGUGGUGCAUGGCCGUUCUUAGUUGGUGGAUUGAUUUGUCAGGCUAAUUCCGAUAACGAACGAGACCUCCGCCUACUAAAUAGAAAGUUGUAAUUGGUUAUAACUUUCUUCUUAGAGGGACACUAUACAUGAAGUGUAGGGAAGCUGGAGGCAAUAACAGGUCUGUGAUGCCCUUAGAUGUCCUGGGCUGCACGCGCGCGACACUGAUUGAUUCAACAAGUGGCUGAUUUGAAAGAAUUGGC
RNAcentral lists this ribosomal RNA (897 nucleotides) under Blastocystis sp. subtype 10. Its description in RNAcentral is "SSU rRNA". It matches the Rfam family "Eukaryotic small subunit ribosomal RNA", at positions 606 to 1546 of the family's 1831-position model. The record is from RNAcentral. Lineage: Eukaryota; Bigyra; Opalinata; Blastocystidae.